GGGUUUCUAUGAGUUGAAAAAGUUUUUCAGGUAUACGUCACACGGGGAAAUUGGGAAUUAGAAGACUUAUAUGGGAACAGCAGCUUGAAACUGGAACAGACGACGGGACUUGGUGUCUGGAAUCCAACCGAAAUAAAGAGAUGCCAAGAGAGCUGGCAGUCACCGUUGAAGACUUCGGCCUUGGCCAUCAGGCCUCCAUGUUGGUGUGAAAGGCCAGGCAAAGACUGUCACUGAACAGAAAAUGGAGCCCCGCUGCCUGACUACAGAAAACGUGGUGGGGCAGGAUGCUAGCCUCUCUGGCGAUCUGUCCAGAGCCUGUUCUCUGGGAAAUCUCUGCCCGUGAACAGAGAUGAGCCCCAGCAGCCAGGUCCCAGCUCCUGGCCCUCUUGGGGACUGACUUCUUUCUGCCCUUGGAUUCUCGAAGUUACCUCUCUGUCUUUAGAACUGAUUUUUGAGGGUUGCCUGGGUGGCUCAGUCAGUUAAGCAUCUGCCUUUGGCUCAGGUCAUGAUCUUGG
Mustela erminea (ermine) is the source of this 515-nucleotide long non-coding RNA. RefSeq lists it as uncharacterized. The transcript is spliced from 3 exons. Lineage: Eukaryota; Metazoa; Chordata; Mammalia; Carnivora; Mustelidae. The record is from RefSeq and is a predicted model, not a curated record.